RNAcentral lists this ribosomal RNA (1542 nucleotides) under Escherichia coli. RNAcentral describes it as "bacterial SSU rRNA". It matches the Rfam family "Bacterial small subunit ribosomal RNA". RNAcentral also lists the same sequence under 33 other names. Lineage: Bacteria; Pseudomonadati; Pseudomonadota; Gammaproteobacteria; Enterobacterales; Enterobacteriaceae. The record is from RNAcentral.
AAAUUGAAGAGUUUGAUCAUGGCUCAGAUUGAACGCUGGCGGCAGGCCUAACACAUGCAAGUCGAACGGUAACAGGAAACAGCUUGCUGUUUCGCUGACGAGUGGCGGACGGGUGAGUAAUGUCUGGGAAACUGCCUGAUGGAGGGGGAUAACUACUGGAAACGGUAGCUAAUACCGCAUAACGUCGCAAGACCAAAGAGGGGGACCUUCGGGCCUCUUGCCAUCGGAUGUGCCCAGAUGGGAUUAGCUAGUAGGUGGGGUAACGGCUCACCUAGGCGACGAUCCCUAGCUGGUCUGAGAGGAUGACCAGCCACACUGGAACUGAGACACGGUCCAGACUCCUACGGGAGGCAGCAGUGGGGAAUAUUGCACAAUGGGCGCAAGCCUGAUGCAGCCAUGCCGCGUGUAUGAAGAAGGCCUUCGGGUUGUAAAGUACUUUCAGCGGGGAGGAAGGGAGUAAAGUUAAUACCUUUGCUCAUUGACGUUACCCGCAGAAGAAGCACCGGCUAACUCCGUGCCAGCAGCCGCGGUAAUACGGAGGGUGCAAGCGUUAAUCGGAAUUACUGGGCGUAAAGCGCACGCAGGCGGUUUGUUAAGUCAGAUGUGAAAUCCCCGGGCUCAACCUGGGAACUGCAUCUGAUACUGGCAAGCUUGAGUCUCGUAGAGGGGGGUAGAAUUCCAGGUGUAGCGGUGAAAUGCGUAGAGAUCUGGAGGAAUACCGGUGGCGAAGGCGGCCCCCUGGACGAAGACUGACGCUCAGGUGCGAAAGCGUGGGGAGCAAACAGGAUUAGAUACCCUGGUAGUCCACGCCGUAAACGAUGUCGACUUGGAGGUUGUGCCCUUGAGGCGUGGCUUCCGGAGCUAACGCGUUAAGUCGACCGCCUGGGGAGUACGGCCGCAAGGUUAAAACUCAAAUGAAUUGACGGGGGCCCGCACAAGCGGUGGAGCAUGUGGUUUAAUUCGAUGCAACGCGAAGAACCUUACCUGGUCUUGACAUCCACGGAAGUUUUCAGAGAUGAGAAUGUGCCUUCGGGAACCGUGAGACAGGUGCUGCAUGGCUGUCGUCAGCUCGUGUUGUGAAAUGUUGGGUUAAGUCCCGCAACGAGCGCAACCCUUAUCCUUUGUUGCCAGCGGUCCGGCCGGGAACUCAAAGGAGACUGCCAGUGAUAAACUGGAGGAAGGUGGGGAUGACGUCAAGUCAUCAUGGCCCUUACGACCAGGGCUACACACGUGCUACAAUGGCGCAUACAAAGAGAAGCGACCUCGCGAGAGCAAGCGGACCUCAUAAAGUGCGUCGUAGUCCGGAUUGGAGUCUGCAACUCGACUCCAUGAAGUCGGAAUCGCUAGUAAUCGUGGAUCAGAAUGCCACGGUGAAUACGUUCCCGGGCCUUGUACACACCGCCCGUCACACCAUGGGAGUGGGUUGCAAAAGAAGUAGGUAGCUUAACCUUCGGGAGGGCGCUUACCACUUUGUGAUUCAUGACUGGGGUGAAGUCGUAACAAGGUAACCGUAGGGGAACCUGCGGUUGGAUCACCUCCUUA